UAUCAGUUUACGCUUAGCUGUGGUAUAUAAGCGAAAAUGGGAACUUUACUAGGUUUAAGAAUUAUUUCCUUAUUUUAUUUUAUACCUUUACUUAUAAAAUGUUACGGUAACGAUAUAUUAGGAUGUGGUGGAUUUGUGAAAAGUCACGUUAAUUUGGAUUUCUCUAAAAUCGAAAUCGGAUUGUAUACCAAAGAAGGUAGUCUAAAAGAGAAGACAGAAUGCGCCCCAAACAACGGGUACUAUUUUCUCCCGCUCUACGAAAAGGGCGAAUACGUGUUAAAGGUCCACCCUCCACCAGGCUGGAGCUUCGAGCCCUCAGAAGUAAACUUAAACGUUGAUGGUGUUACGGACCAGUGUUCUACCGGCCAGGAUGUAAACUUUUCGUUUAACGGUUUUGGUAUUACUGGUCUAGUGAUCACGGCAGGGCAGAAGCAAGGGCCUGCGGGUAUAGCGGUGCAGCUGGUUAAUGAUAAUGGUGAAGUGAGGAACACGGUGACCUCUGCGGGUGGGGAGUUCCACUUUACUCCGGUGAUUCCUGGGAAAUACACUGUGAAGGCAUCUCAUCCAAGAUGGAAGCUAGAGCCAUCUUCAGCAGUAGUCCAAGUGAAGGAAGGCAACACAGCCCUGCCGACAGGAGUGCUGGCCGUCAAAGGUUACGAUGUGAAGGGCUCUGUCACUUCUAACGGCAACGCUAUUACUGGGCUCUAUGUGCUGCUGUAUUCUAAAGAGGAAAGCCCCAAACUUCGCGUGGAAGGCUGCAAGACGGCCCUCCUGCAGGGUGUCCCCGGUUCCCCAAUCUGCCACUCUGUAACGGACAACAACGGGGAGUUCACAUUCGGUUUGGUGCCAGCGGGUGAAUACAAGUUGCUGGCGCUGGCCAAGAACCCGGGACAGGCGACUGUUAGCUAUAAUGUGAAGCCGGAGAGUGUGCCGUUCACUGUGUUACAUGAUAGCUUGUAUAUUAAGAAUGCUUUUGAGGUGACCGGUUUCACAGUAAUGUCGUCAGUAGUGUCCACCGCUGGUGCUGGUUUACCCAACGCACGCGUGUCGUUGGAUGGCAAAGCGGUCGGAAAGACGGACGGCACUGGAAAAUAUACCUUGCCAUCUCUGCAAAGUGGGACUUACACGAUCAGCGUGGAACAUGACCAAGCCCAGUUCGAUGAUAUCCAGCUAACCAUAACCCCAACCGGCUCGGUCCGCAUCCCUGAAGCGCGCGUGACGCGCUGGCGCGUGUGCGGCACUGUCACUCCGCCCGCCGCACGACAUGUGGUCGUUCGCGAUAGCCGGAUACCCGUUGACGACCAAGGUAAAUGGUGCACGUUCCUGCCACCUGGCGUGUACACGGCGAGAGUCGACGUUUCCGAGCAGGAACAACGGGAUGGAUUGCAAUACUACCCCCUAUCACACAAAAUCACCGUAGCGCACUCAUCCGUAUCAGACAUAGCGUUCUCCCAACUGAAAGCACUCGUAUCCGGCACGGUCCGGUGCCAGACCGGCGCCUCGGAGUUGCCUGUGACUCUUCGGACGUUAGCGCCGGACGGUAGCGUUGUGGGCAAUCCUCUUACUACUACUGCAAAAGAUGGCAAAUACACCUUCAAAGACGUACUACCCGGUAGCGUAGAGUUAUCAGUACCAUCCGAUAGACUUUGCUGGGCCGAAAGCGUUCACAACAUCGUGGUAACGCAGGAGACAGCAACAGUCCCGGACUUUGUACAGACCGGACAUGUUUUGAGGGCUACUAGUUCGCAUAAGAUUGAGGUGGAUUACAUAAGCGACGAUGGUUCAGAAAAGGGCACUUUAACCCUUCCGGCGGGUGCGAGCUCGCACUGCGUGGGGCGCGGGCUGCCGCGCCGGUACACGCUCACGCCGCGCGGCUGCCACCAGCUUAACCCGCCCACUGCCCAAGCCGACACCGCCGCUGAACACCAACAGCCAAUAAUCUUCAUCGCCGUAGCCCACUCGGUGGUCCUCCGCGUGACCUCCCCUGAACCUGUCAAAGACCUGGUGCUGAAGAUCGGAGCUGAUGGCCUCGGACCUCGCGCCGUCGGACCUCUGAAACCCCAACCCAGGGCUGGAGGUGGAUAUGUCUUCGAACACGAACUGUUCAUGAAAGAGGGCGAAGUAGCAGUAGUAUCAGCCGAGUCCUCGACUCUCCUCUUCAGUCCGUCUGAGCCUCAGCAGGUGAUCGGUUCGUCUGACUGUCAACCACAGGCGUUGACCAUCCGCGCCGUCAAGGGCCUGUCUUUGGCUGGUCGUAUCAUACCCCCUGUUGCUGGGGUUACUGUCACUUUGACCUCAGAUGACCUCGAGCUAACCCAGACCACAACGACCACCGGCACAUACAGCUUCGGUCCCCUGGACGCGAGCAAAAAAUACACCAUCACCUGCUCCAAGGAAUCGUACGUGUUCGACGGGCCUAACGACGCAGGGGAUGUGCGCGCGCACAAGCUGGCCGAGAUUAUAGUGGAACUGGUCGAUGACGCUGAUGGGAAGCCUUUACAGGGCGCCCUAGUCUCCGUAAGCGGCGGCUCGUACCGCCGUAACCUGGUCUCUGGUGCCUCAGGUUCGCUUCGGUUCAGCUCCCUAGCGCCGGCGGAGUACUACGCCAAGCCUCUCAUGAAGGAAUACAAAUUCAGUCCGCCGCAUGAGAUACUUACUGUGCAGGAGGGGCGCGAACACAAGCUGACACUCAGAGGGGUCCGCGUGGCAUGGUCGUGUGUCGGCCAUCUUCUGUCUCUCGGCGGUGUGGGCUGGGCCGGGGCCACUGUGGUAGCCAAGGCGUCAGGAAAGUGUGCCAGUGAAGAAGCCACUACUGAAGCUAAUGGAGCCUUCAGAAUACGCGGCCUACUGCCCGGCUGUGUGUACACGCUACAACUCAAGGACUCGACUACACCAGAGCUGGCUGGACUGAAGCUAGUCAAAGCGCCGUCUUCCAUACAAGUGAAAAACAACCAAGACAUCACCGACGUCCAACUCAUCGCUAUCCAACCACAGCAGAUAACGGACACCAAUGUGCUAGUCUACACUCCCAACAUAGACCAUUAUAAGACCCUCCGUCUCACUUUAGCACUAGAGUCUACCCCGGAUACUCCUAUAUACUCCACCAAACUUGACAGUGCCGGAUACAGUCAGACUCUAAACCCAGGUAUUUAUUUACAUCCAACCACAAGAGUUAACGGACACCAAUGUGCUAGUCUACACUCCCAACAUAGACCAUUAUAAGACCCGCCGUCUCACUUUAGCACUAGAGUCUACUCCGGACACUCCUAUAUACUCCACCAAACUUGACAGUGCCGGAUACAGUCAGACUCUAAACCCAGGUCUGAUGUACGUGCUGCCGCGUUUGCCAGCCGAUAAUAAGACUUACAUCGUGCAGUUAGAGUCCACUUUGUCUAAAGCGACGCACAGCUACGAGGAGGUGGUUGGUUACUUCAACUCGGAUGGACAGUUCAAGCAUUUCGAUUUCGAGUUUUUGCCUAAAGUAAAAUCCUCUGAACAAGAACUCCGCCAAACCUCCCUCCUAGUCGUACCCCUAUUCCUCCUCCUAGCGCUCGCCUACCACCAACGAGCCAGUCUACUGGCGCAAGUCACUGCCCUGGCGAGUCAACGGGCCGCGCCUACUCGGCCUACUAGAGCUAGGCCCGAUGUACUUGAUCAUGCCAGUAUAGAUCAGAUUGUUAGUAGUGUUAAUGCUGCUGGGAAAAAGAAAAAACAGUGAG
RNA transcript from Cydia amplana, 3719 nucleotides. It is a transcript of the gene named BOS complex subunit NOMO3, with no coding region annotated. Lineage: Eukaryota; Metazoa; Arthropoda; Insecta; Lepidoptera; Tortricidae. The record is from RefSeq and is a predicted model, not a curated record. The transcript has 19 exons.